CCUCGCCGCGCAGAGCCUGUCCCCCUUCCCGGGAGCGGCGCGGAGCUAGGAGGCAGCGCGGCGCGGGGCAGGAGCGGAGCGGAGCGGAGCCUGGCG
RNAcentral lists this microRNA precursor (96 nucleotides) under Pelodiscus sinensis (Chinese soft-shelled turtle). Its description in RNAcentral is "miRNA (ENSPSIG00000019960.1)". Lineage: Eukaryota; Metazoa; Chordata; Testudines; Trionychidae. The record is from RNAcentral.